GUUCUGGUGGCGUAGCCCGGUAGCGCGCCCCGCUCACAGUACAAUACUUAGAACCGGGGAGGUCGCGAGUUCAAGUCUCGCCUGGAACA
Molecule: non-coding RNA, 89 nt
Organism: Lodderomyces orthopsilosis Co 90-125
Lineage: Eukaryota; Fungi; Ascomycota; Pichiomycetes; Serinales; Debaryomycetaceae
Source: the annotation of a RefSeq genome assembly